This 59-nucleotide transfer RNA is filed under the name Camelus bactrianus (Bactrian camel). It matches the Rfam family "tRNA", at positions 14 to 71 of the family's 71-position model. Rfam says of the family: Transfer RNA (tRNA) molecules are approximately 80 nucleotides in length. Their secondary structure includes four short double-helical elements and three loops (D, anti-codon, and T loops). The record is from Rfam by way of RNAcentral. Lineage: Eukaryota; Metazoa; Chordata; Mammalia; Artiodactyla; Camelidae. RNAcentral also lists the same sequence under 2 other names.
GGUGGUAGAGCGCGUGCUUAGCAUGCAUGAGGUUCUGGGUUCAAUCCCCAGUACCUCCA